CAUCCUACGGGGGGCAGCAGUGGGGAAUAUUGCACAAUGGGGGAAGCCCUGAUGCAGCGACGCCGCGUGAGUGAAGAAGUAUUUCGGUAUGUAAAGCUCUAUCAGCAGGGAAGAAAAAAGACGGUACCUGACUAAGAAGCCCCGGCUAACUACGUGCCAGCAGCCGCGGUAAUACGUAGGGGGCAAGCGUUAUCCGGAUUUACUGGGUGUAAAGGGAGCGCAGACGGAGAAGCAAGUCUGAAGUGAAAGCCCGUGGCUUAACCACGGAACUGCUUUG
This 277-nucleotide ribosomal RNA is filed under the name uncultured bacterium. Its description in RNAcentral is "partial 16S ribosomal RNA". It matches the Rfam family "Bacterial small subunit ribosomal RNA", at positions 335 to 628 of the family's 1533-position model. The record is from RNAcentral.